This 697-nucleotide long non-coding RNA is filed under the name Homo sapiens (human). RNAcentral describes it as "HSALNT0107195". Lineage: Eukaryota; Metazoa; Chordata; Mammalia; Primates; Hominidae. The record is from RNAcentral.
AGCACCACUGUCCGAGGUUUACAGAGUGUUUGAUCCACUGGGAGGAGAUCCUACAAAAGAUCAAACUGGAAUAAAGGACACACUUUACAACCCAUAAGAUGUGACAAUUAGCAAACUGAAGUUCAAAGAAUUGGAUAACCUAGCCCAAGAUCAGACCUUUGGAGAAUGAAAGAAUCUGGAUUUGCACCCGGAACUUACUGGCUUCCACCUCUAAACACCAGCUUCCCUGUUCCAACUUUUCUAAAGUUGAAUGUUCUUCAUACAAAUAUCAGCAGGAAGACAUUGAGGCACAAAAUAAAUGGGGUAUUGUAUGAGAAUGCCUAGCUUUCAAUGAGCUUAUGUCUCCAAGCUUGGACAAAUUCCGGCUGGGGUACCAACAGAAUUUAUAUAUGAGAAGACUGUUGGCAGCUUUUCAGGGACUGUGGGGCCGGGGAGAGACGCCAGAAGACUGUGGCUGGGUACACACUAUUCCAUUUUGUGAAAAGGGGAAGAAGGUUGAUUCUGCAAACCAUAGAUGCCAGAGUCCUGGGCAAAGUUCUUGAAGGGCAUCCUAUAAACAUAAAAAAAGGGAAGUCAUUGCUAGGCACCAACAAGUUUUCAUUGAGAAGAGAUUAUUCCAAAUGAACCUAACUUCCAUUUCUCAUAAGGUGAAAAAUUGGUAUGGCUUUAUUUAGACAAUACAUUUUGCUCAUUUUCA